RNAcentral lists this ribosomal RNA (403 nucleotides) under uncultured bacterium. Its description in RNAcentral is "partial 16S ribosomal RNA". It matches the Rfam family "Bacterial small subunit ribosomal RNA", at positions 30 to 526 of the family's 1533-position model. The record is from RNAcentral.
AUUGAACGCUGGCGGCAGGCCUAACACAUGCAAGUCGAGCGAGCGGCGGACGGGUGAGUAAUGUAUGGGUACUGCCCGAUAGAGGGGGAUAACAACUGGAAACGGUGGCUAAUACUGCACACUAUCGGAUAACCCAUAUGGGAUUAGCUAGUUGGUGGGGUAAAGGCUCACCUAGCCGACGAUCUCUAGCUGGUCUGAGAGGAUGAUCAGCCACACUGGGACUGAGACGCGGCCCGGACUAAUACGGAGGGAGCAGUGGGGAAUGUUGCACAAGGGGCGCAGGCCUGGUGCGACCAUGCCGCGUGUAUGAAGGAGUCCUUGGGGUUUUGAAGUACUUUCACCGGGGAGGCGUUACCCGCAGAAGAAGGACCGGCUAACUCCGUGCCAGCAGCCGCGGUAAUAC